RNAcentral lists this ribosomal RNA (399 nucleotides) under Triticum aestivum (bread wheat). RNAcentral's name for it is "partial small subunit ribosomal RNA". Lineage: Eukaryota; Viridiplantae; Streptophyta; Magnoliopsida; Poales; Poaceae. The record is from RNAcentral.
AUGGCUAGAAGACUCAAGGGAUGGAAAGGCAAACUGAUGACAAAACCGGGAAGACUUGACCUAAUAAAUUCUGUGCUUACGUCCAUGGCAACCUAUUUCUUAACAAGUUUCGCAGUCGACAAAUGGACGAUAAAGAAGAUGGAAAAGAUUCAGUGCAACUUCCUUUGGAAUGGUGAUGAGGAGUGCAGUGGGGCCAAGUGCCUUGUCAGCUGGAAGAGGGUCUGCUCCCCAAAGGAUGUGGGCGGCCUUGGAAUCAAAGACAUUGCUUGCUUUAGCAGGGCGUUGCGGCUGCGUUGGGCUUGGCUAGAGUGGAGCCUCACUUCUAGGCCUUGGCAGGGCUCCCCCAUCCCAUGCGAUUGCACGGACAUGCUACUUUUCUCUGCUUGCACGGAGAUUACA